Molecule: transfer RNA, 35 nt
Filed under: Hylia prasina (green hylia)
Lineage: Eukaryota; Metazoa; Chordata; Aves; Passeriformes; Sylviidae
Description: partial tRNA-Phe
Source: RNAcentral
GAUGUCAAGAUGGCUGCCACAUGCACCCAGGGACA